Non-coding RNA from Caenorhabditis elegans, 21 nucleotides. The record is from Ensembl. Lineage: Eukaryota; Metazoa; Nematoda; Chromadorea; Rhabditida; Rhabditidae.
UCGAUUUACUGGUGUCGAUUU